Episyrphus balteatus (marmalade hoverfly) is the source of this 1646-nucleotide long non-coding RNA. RefSeq lists it as uncharacterized. The record is from RefSeq and is a predicted model, not a curated record. The transcript has 6 exons. Lineage: Eukaryota; Metazoa; Arthropoda; Insecta; Diptera; Syrphidae.
CCUAUUAUAUAUGGACUGCUAGUUGAUUCUCGUUUCCAUACAAAAUUUUUGAAAAUGUGGUUCAAUGAUUACUAGCGCCUGUGGAAGAAAGUGGUAAAUAGAACUCAGUUAGCGUAGCGACAUCUUCCGUCAGAUCGCUUGAACUACCAUUUUUGUGCAUAGAAACUAUGGCCAUCUACAUUUUUUUGCUACAAAAAUGAAUAGCAUCUGUCUUUUUUGAAGUCUACUUUUUGACGUAUUGGAAGAACGAAGAAUUCUUUCAGUAAAAAAAAAGUAUUUUAAAAUAUUUUUUGUGCAAAGAUAAAUGUCGGGGAAAAUAAUUGAACCAUGUUGGAAAAAGAUGCAAAUUUAUCACAUAUGGAAUCGUGUUGGAUGGAAGGAGGGCCAAAUGCAUCAACAAAACCAUCCGCACAAGCAUUAUCACACCAGCAUCAACAACAACGUAAAAUUAUUAAUAUUUACUGCAGCCUACAAAACAAUUUUUAAAGUUUUCUUUUUCAGUUGUUUUCUCUAGGACUCCUGAUGAGGAUUAAAAUAAAGCUAUCCAUCAAUCAUCGACGAAAAAGAAACUGUAUUUGACGACUCAUGAAUUCCGGGUGCACUGAGCGUACUUUCGAGAGUCCUUCGAGAGGACUGACAAAAGAGUAGAUCUCUCAACGAAUAUAAUUUAUAUCCUGUUUCUACACAUUCACAAAGUUUCAUCCUAUGAUUGUGCAGUAUAGGAUUGGUUAUGCAUGGAUGUCAUUGAAUUGGAACCACUCUUCAGAGUUGCCUUCUAUCUUCUGCUCAAUAUGGCUGAGAAUGUUGAACUUUAAGAGAAGAUACAUCGUAAAAAUAUAGUCAAUAUGCUUGUCAAGCUAGUGACGAUGACAACGUUCCUUAAGAAACUUUAAAUAGUUGGUGAUAAUAAAGCUUACAUGAACGAGCUAAACAUUGUCGCCAAAGCUGAUGCAGCAGUGGCUGAUGAAGCAAUGGCAAUGCUGACCCAAUACAAGAAAACUUAAGUUAGUUUUCAGUUUAUCCUUUGAUGGAUCAUUACGUCGGAAAAUGUUGCAAGCUGCAUUACUACCAAUGUUGGUGAUGUUUUUAUAAAGAAAAGCAUCAUGGUAUUGCUUUGAAAAUCUUGUUUCACUUAACUUUGGAUGGUAAGGUAAAAUCAAUGUUGACCCUCACAGAAUAUGUGCGAAUGGUAACUGAUGCUAUAUAAUUCUCAAUAUAUAUACCAAAGUUGACCUCGGUGUGCUAUGCAUUCUUUUGCUAAACAAAUAACGUUAUGUACAAAUAAUGGUCGCUGGCAAUGGCCUACACAAUCUAAUGAUCGAGCCUUUAAAUAUCAGGAUGCUGUUCUAAUAAAACGUAUUCAAAAUCUAUCACCGCAUAAAAAUCUUCAACACAUUAUGUUUAUCGAUAAUGUUUUUGUUUUUUAUUUGGCCCGCAUCAAAUCACAGUGAAUGAAACCGAAAUCUCUUCACGUAUCCGAAAUCACAAAGGAUGGCAGAGUCAAUCACGAGUUGGUGACUACUGUGUUUGUGAAAGAUGUGGUGAGUGCGGAGCAAUGUUGGAUGAAUACAAAUUUAAUUCCAUGGCAGUGCGCGAGUACAACAAAUUUUUUUUUGGAUCAUCGUCUGCAGCAGGUUACUCUUGAU